This 253-nucleotide ribosomal RNA is filed under the name uncultured bacterium. RNAcentral describes it as "partial 16S ribosomal RNA". It matches the Rfam family "Bacterial small subunit ribosomal RNA", at positions 524 to 776 of the family's 1533-position model. The record is from RNAcentral.
UACAGAGGUCUCAAGCGCUGUUCGGAUUCAUUGGGCGUAAAGGGUGCGUAGGUGGCGGGGCCAGUCAGGUGUGAAAUCCCGGGGCUUAACCCUGGAACUGCAUUUGAUACUGCCUUGCUGGAGAACUGGAGAGGAGACUGGAAUUUACGGUGUAGCAGUGAAAUGCGUAGAGAUCGUAAGGAAGACCAGUGGCGAAGGCGAGUCUCUGGACAGUUACUGACACUGAGGCACGAAGGCCAGGGGAGCAAACGGG